GACGAACGCUGGCGGCGUGCUUAACACAUGCAAGUCGAACGGAAAGGCUCCAGCUUGCUGGAGUACUCGAGUGGCGAACGGGUGAGUAACACGUGGGUAAUCUGCCCUGCACUCUGGGAUAAGCCUGGGAAACUGGGUCUAAUACUGGAUAUGACCUUUCUCCUUAUGGGGUUUGGUGGAAAGUUUUUCGGUGUAGGAUGAGCCCGCGGCCUAUCAGCUUGUUGGUGGGGUGAUGGCCUACCAAGGCGACGACGGGUAGCCGGCCUGAGAGGGUGAUCGGCAAGAUGGGGACUGAGAUACGGCCAAGCCCCCGGCGGGAGGCAGCAGGGGGGAAUAUUGCAAAGUGGGCGGAAGCCGGAUGCAGCGACGCCGGGGGAGGGAGGACGGCCUUGGGUUUGUAAACCUUUUUCAGCAGGGACGAAGCGUAAGUGACGGUACCUGAAAAAGAAGCACCGGCAAACUAUGUG
Molecule: ribosomal RNA, 467 nt
Filed under: uncultured bacterium
Lineage: Bacteria
Description: partial 16S ribosomal RNA
Rfam family: Bacterial small subunit ribosomal RNA
Source: RNAcentral